RNAcentral lists this ribosomal RNA (1415 nucleotides) under uncultured bacterium. Its description in RNAcentral is "bacterial SSU rRNA". It matches the Rfam family "Bacterial small subunit ribosomal RNA". The record is from RNAcentral.
AGAGUUUGAUCCUGGCUCAGGACGAACGCUGGCGGCGUGCCUAAUACAUGCAAGUCGAGCGAAUCAGAUGGGAGCUUGCUCCCGGAUGAUUAGCGGCGGACGGGUGAGUAACACGUGGGCAACCUGCCCGUAAGAUUGGGAUAACUCCGGGAAACCGGUGCUAAUACCGAAUAGUUUCUGACACCUCAUGGUGUCAGAGGGAAAGUUGGCUUUCGAGCUAACACUUACGGAUGGGCCCGCGGCGCAUUAGCUAGUUGGUGAGGUAACGGCUCACCAAGGCGACGAUGCGUAGCCGACCUGAGAGGGUGAUCGGCCACACUGGGACUGAGACACGGCCCAGACUCCUACGGGAGGCAGCAGUAGGGAAUCUUCCGCAAUGGACGAAAGUCUGAUGGAGCAACGCCGCGUGAGCGAAGAAGGCCUUCGGGUCGUAAAGCUCUGUUGUCAGGGAAGAACAAGUGCCAUUCGAAUAGGUUGGCACCUUGACGGUACCUGGCCAGAAAGCCACGGCUAACUACGUGCCAGCAGCCGCGGUAAUACGUAGGUGGCAAGCGUUGUCCGGAAUUAUUGGGCGUAAAGCGCGCGCAGGCGGUCCUUUAAGUCUGAUGUGAAAGCCCACGGCUCAACCGUGGAGGGUCAUUGGAAACUGGAGGACUUGAGUGCAGAAGAGGGAAGUGGAAUUCCAUGUGUAGCGGUGAAAUGCGUAGAGAUAUGGAGGAACACCAGUGGCGAAGGCGGCUUCCUGGUCUGUAACUGACACUGAGGCGCGGAAGCAUGGGGAGCGAACAGGAUUAGAUACCCUGGUAGUCCAUGCCGUAAACGUUGGGCACUAGGUGUGGGGGACAUUCCACGUUUUCCGCGCCGUAGCUAACGCAUUAAGUGCCCCGCCUGGGGAGUACGGCCGCAAGGCUAAAACUCAAAGGAAUUGACGGGGGCCCGCACAAGCGGCGGAGCAUGCGGAUUAAUUCGAUGCAACGCGAAGAACCUUACCAAGGCUUGACAUGAACCGGAAAGGCCUGGAAACAGGUCCCCCACUUGUGGCCGGUUUACAGGUGGUGCAUGGUUGUCGUCGGCUCGUGUCGUGAGAUGUUGGGUUAAGUCCCGCAACGAGCGCAACCCUCGUUCUAUGUUGCCAGCGGGUUAUGCCGGGGACUCAUAGGAGACUGCCGGGGUCAACUCGGAGGAAGGUGGGGACGACGUCAAAUCAUCAUGCCCCUUAUGUCUUGGGCUUCACGCAUGCUACAAUGGCCGGUACAAAGGGUUGCGAUACUGUGAGGUGGAGCUAAUCCCAAAAAGCCGGUCUCAGUUCGGAUUGAGGUCUGCAACUCGACCUCAUGAAGUUGGAGUCGCUAGUAAUCGCAGAUCAGCAACGCUGCGGUGAAUACGUUCCCGGGCCUUGCACUCACCGCCCGUCA